RNAcentral lists this ribosomal RNA (898 nucleotides) under uncultured bacterium. RNAcentral describes it as "bacterial SSU rRNA". It matches the Rfam family "Bacterial small subunit ribosomal RNA", at positions 8 to 916 of the family's 1533-position model. The record is from RNAcentral.
AGAGUUUGAUCAUGGCUCAGGACGAACGCUGGCGGCGUGCUUAACACAUGCAAGUCACGGGGGCCCGCAAGGGCAACCGGCGAACGGGUGCGUAACACGUGAGCAACCUGCCCGCUUGUGGGGGAUAGCCGGCCCAACGGCCGGGUAAUACCGCAUACGUUCUCUGGGGGGAGUCCUUCGGAGAGGAAAGCAGCAAUGCGCAGGCGGAGGGGCUCGCGGCCUAUCAGCUAGUUGGUGCGGUAACGGCGCACCAAGGCGACGACGGGUAGCUGGUCUGAGAGGAUGGCCAGCCACAUUGGGACUGCGACACGGCCCAGACUCCUACGGGAGGCAGCAGUGGGGAAUCUUGCGCAAUGGGCGAAAGCCUGACGCAGCGACGCCGCGUGGGGGAGGAAGGGCUUCGGCUUGUAAACCCCUGUUGCCCGGGACGAAUCCCUGGUUUCGACCAGGUUGACGGUACCGGGUGGGGAAGCACCGGCUAACUCUGUGCCAGCAGCCGCGGUAAUACAGAGGGUGCGAGCGUUGUCCGGAAUCACUGGGCGUAAAGGGCGCGUAGGCGGUGGCCUAAGCGUGCGGUGAAAGCCCGGGGCUCAACCCCGGGUCGGCCGUGCGAACUGGGUCACUCGAGCACACUAGAGGCGAGUGGAAUUCCGGGUGUAGCGGUGGAAUGCGUAGAGAUCCGGAAGAACACCAGUGGCGAAGGCGGCUCGCUGGGGUGUGGCUGACGCUGAGGCGCGACAGCGUGGGGAGCAAACAGGAUUAGAUACCCUGUAGUCCACGCCGUAAACGAUGGGCACUAGAUGCUUGGGGGAGCGACCCCCUGAGUGUCGGCGCUAACGCAUUAAGUGCCCCGCCUGGGGAGUACGGCCGCAAGGCUGAAACUCAAAUGAAUUGACGG